CCUACGGGUGGCUGCAGUGGGGAAUAUUGGACAAUGGGCGAAAGCCUGAUCCAGCCAUGCCGCGUGUGUGAAGAAGGCCUUCGGGUUGUAAAGCACUUUCAGUGGGGAAGAAAGCCUUGGGGCUAAUACCCUCGAGGAAGGACAUCACCCACAGAAGAAGCACCGGCUAACUCCGUGCCAGCAGCCGCGGUAAUACGGAGGGUGCGAGCGAUAAUCGGAAUUACUGGGCGUAAAGCGCGCGUAGGCGGUCUGAUAAGCCGGUUGUGAAAGCCCCGGGCUCAACCUGGGAACGGCAUCCGGAACUGUCAGGCUAGAGUGCAGGAGAGGAAGGUAGAAUUCCCGGUGUAGCGGUGAAAUGCGUAGAGAUCGGGAGGAAUACCAGUGGCGAAGGCGGCCUUCUGGACUGACACUGACGCUGAGGUGCGAAAGCGUGGGUAGCAAACAGGAUUAGAUACCCGUGUAGUC
RNAcentral lists this ribosomal RNA (465 nucleotides) under Vreelandella stevensii. Its description in RNAcentral is "partial 16S ribosomal RNA". It matches the Rfam family "Bacterial small subunit ribosomal RNA", at positions 338 to 795 of the family's 1533-position model. The record is from RNAcentral. Lineage: Bacteria; Pseudomonadati; Pseudomonadota; Gammaproteobacteria; Oceanospirillales; Halomonadaceae.